AACGAACGCUGGCGGCAUGCCUAACACAUGCAAGUCGAACGAGACCUUCGGGUCUAGUGGCGCACGGGUGCGUAACGCGUGGGAACCUGCCCUUAGGUUCGGAAUAACUCCCCGAAAGGGGUGCUAAUACCGGAUAAUGUCUUCGGACCAAAGAUUUAUCGCCUUUGGAUGGGCCCGCGUUGGAUUAGCUAGUUGGUAGGGUAAAAGCCUACCAAGGCGACGAUCCAUAGCUGGUCUGAGAGGAUGAUCAGCCACACUGGGACUGAGACACGGCCCAGACUCCUACGGGAGGCAGCAGUGGGGAAUAUUGGACAAUGGGCGAAAGCCUGAUCCAGCAAUGCCGCGUGAGUGAUGAAGGCCGUAGGGUUGUAAAGCUCCUUUACCCGGGAUGAUAAUGACAGUACCGGGAGAAUAAGCUCCGGCUAACUCCGUG
RNAcentral lists this ribosomal RNA (433 nucleotides) under uncultured bacterium. Its description in RNAcentral is "partial 16S ribosomal RNA". It matches the Rfam family "Bacterial small subunit ribosomal RNA", at positions 29 to 507 of the family's 1533-position model. The record is from RNAcentral.